RNAcentral lists this long non-coding RNA (237 nucleotides) under Linum usitatissimum (flax). RNAcentral's name for it is "long non-coding RNA (LUSI_LNC000479)". Lineage: Eukaryota; Viridiplantae; Streptophyta; Magnoliopsida; Malpighiales; Linaceae. The record is from RNAcentral.
AAUAAAUAUGUGGGAGAAUUAAUUACCUUCGUUUGAUGCCCAGAUUCCGCGGAGACGAGAUCUGCUGCACCGGCCCAGCAAGACAACUAGUGCUCGUAUAAUUAUUAUUAUUACGACUAUUAUUAUUAUUGUUAAUCAUCUGAUGAUCCUCCACACCCUUGUUGAAACCUAUCCUCGGAGAACGAACCGCCGCAAUCUCCGCCGCCGAAGAAACGGUCCCCACCGCCUCGGACUUGU